ACUCCUGCGGGAGGCAGCAGUGGGGAAUAUUGGACAAUGGGCGCAAGCCUGAUCCAGCCAUGCCGCGUGAGUGAUGAAGGCCCUAGGGUUGUAAAGCUCUUUCACCGGUGAAGAUAAUGACGGUAACCGGAGAAGAAGCCCCGGCUAACUUCGUGCCAGCAGCCGCGGUAAUACGAAGGGGGCUAGCGUUGUUCGGAUUUACUGGGCGUAAAGCGCACGUAGGCGGACUAUUAAGUCAGGGGUGAAAUCCCGGGGCUCAACCCCGGAACUGCCUUUGAUACUGGUAGUCUUGAGUUCGAGAGAGGUGAGUGGAAUUCCGAGUGUAGAGGUGAAAUUCGUAGAUAUUCGGAGGAACACCAGUGGCGAAGGCGGCUCACUGGCUCGAUACUGACGCUGAGGUGCGAAAGCGUGUGGAGCAAACAGGAUUAGAAACCCUAGUAGUCCC
This 445-nucleotide ribosomal RNA is filed under the name uncultured organism. RNAcentral's name for it is "partial 16S ribosomal RNA". It matches the Rfam family "Bacterial small subunit ribosomal RNA", at positions 335 to 797 of the family's 1533-position model. The record is from RNAcentral.